CAGCCGCCGCGGUAAUACGUAGGGUGCGAGCGUUGUCCGGAAUUGCUGGGCGUAAAGAGCUCGUAGGCGGUUUGUCACGUCGUCUGUGAAAUCCUAGGGCUUAACCCUGGACGUGCAGGCGAUACGGGCUGACUUGAGUACUACAGGGGAGACUGGAAUUUCUGGUGUAGCGGUGGAAUGCACAGAUAUCAGGAAGAACACCGAUGGCGAAGGCAGGUCUCUGGGUAGUAACUGACGCUGAGGAGCGAAAGCAUGGGUAGCGAACAGGAUUAGAUACCCCUGUAGUCCCUGUCUCUUAUAC
RNAcentral lists this ribosomal RNA (301 nucleotides) under uncultured bacterium. RNAcentral describes it as "partial 16S ribosomal RNA". It matches the Rfam family "Bacterial small subunit ribosomal RNA", at positions 509 to 807 of the family's 1533-position model. The record is from RNAcentral.